GAAUUUUCCGCAAUGGGCGAAAGCCUGACGGAGCAAUACCGCGUGAGGGAUGGCGGCCUAUGGGUUGUAAACCUCUUUUCUCAGGGAGGAAUCAAUGACGUGUACCUGAGGAAUAAGCAUCGGCUAACUCCGUGCCAGCAGCCGCGGUAAGACGGAGGAUGCAAGUGUUAUCCGGAAUCACUGGGCGUAAAGCGUCUGUAGGUGGUCAAAUAAGUCAACUGUUAAAUCUUGAGGCUCAACCUCAAAAUCGCAGUCGAAACUAUUAGACUAGAGUAUAGUAGGGGUAAAGGGAAUUUCCAGUGGAGCGGUGAAAUGCGUAGAGAUUGGAAAGAACACCGAUGGCGAAGGCACUUUACUGGGCUAUUACUAACACUGAGAGACGAAAGCUAGGGUAGCAAAUGGGAUUAGAUACCCCAGUAGUC
This 422-nucleotide ribosomal RNA is filed under the name uncultured cyanobacterium. RNAcentral describes it as "bacterial SSU rRNA". It matches the Rfam family "Bacterial small subunit ribosomal RNA", at positions 359 to 795 of the family's 1533-position model. Lineage: Bacteria; Bacillati; Cyanobacteriota. The record is from RNAcentral.